GGAUUGUGGCUCAGUGGUAGAGUACUUGCCUAGCAUGUGUGAGGUACUGGGUUCGAUUCUCAGCACCA
Molecule: transfer RNA, 68 nt
Filed under: Marmota monax (woodchuck)
Lineage: Eukaryota; Metazoa; Chordata; Mammalia; Rodentia; Sciuridae
Description: tRNA.Ala
Rfam family: tRNA (bases 5-65)
About the family: Transfer RNA (tRNA) molecules are approximately 80 nucleotides in length.
Source: RNAcentral